GCGAAAACUUUACAAUGCUGGCAACAGCGAUAAGGGAACCUCGAGUGCCAGGUUACAAAUCUGGCUGUCGAGAUGCCUAAAAAGCAUUUCAUAGCAAGGGCCGGGCAAGACCGGUGCCAGCCGCCGCGGUAACACCGGCGGCUCGAGUGGUAACCGUUAUUAUUGGGUCUAAAGGGUCUGUAGCCGGCCGGAUAAGUCUCUUGAGAAAUCUGGCAGCUUAACUGUCAGGCUUUCAGGAGAUACUGUCUGGCUCGAGGCCGGGAGAGGUGAGAGGUACUUCAGGGGUAGGGGUGAAAUCUUGUAAUCCUUGAAGGACCACCAGGGGCGAAGGCGUCUCACCAGAACGGACCUGACGGCAAGGGACGAAAGCUAGGGUCACGAACC
This 384-nucleotide ribosomal RNA is filed under the name uncultured prokaryote. RNAcentral's name for it is "bacterial SSU rRNA". It matches the Rfam family "Archaeal small subunit ribosomal RNA", at positions 341 to 725 of the family's 1478-position model. The record is from RNAcentral.